UUAAGCGACUAAGCGUACACGGUGGAUGCCCUGGCAGUCAGAGGCGAUGAAGGACGUGCUAAUCUGCGAUAAGCGUCGGUGAGGUGAUAUGAACCGUUAUAACCGGCGAUUUCCGAAUGGGGAAACCCAGUGUGUUUCGACACACUAUCAUUAACUGAAUCCAUAGGUUAAUGAGGCGAACCGGGGGAACUGAAACAUCUAAGUACCCCGAGGAAAAGAAAUCAACCGAGAUUCCCCCAGUAGCGGCGAGCGAACGGGGAGGAGCCCAGAGCCUGAAUCAGUGUGUGUGUUAGUGGAAGCGUCUGGAAAGGCGCGCGAUACAGGGUGACAGCCCCGUACACAAAAAUGCACAUACUGUGAGCUCGAUGAGUAGGGCGGGACACGUGGUAUCCUGUCUGAAUAUGGGGGGACCAUCCUCCAAGGCUAAAUACUCCUGACUGACCGAUAGUGAACCAGUACCGUGAGGGAAAGGCGAAAAGAACCCCGGCGAGGGGAGUGAAAAAGAACCUGAAACCGUGUACGUACAAGCAGUGGGAGCCUCUUAAUGGGGUGACUGCGUACCUUUUGUAUAAUGGGUCAGCGACUUAUAUUCUGUAGCAAGGUUAACCGAAUAGGGGAGCCGAAGGGAAACCGAGUCUUAACUGGGCGUUAAGUUGCAGGGUAUAGACCCGAAACCCGGUGAUCUAGCCAUGGGCAGGUUGAAGGUUGGGUAACACUAACUGGAGGACCGAACCGACUAAUGUUGAAAAAUUAGCGGAUGACUUGUGGCUGGGGGUGAAAGGCCAAUCAAACCGGGAGAUAGCUGGUUCUCCCCGAAAGCUAUUUAGGUAGCGCCUCGUGAAUUCAUCUCCGGGGGUAGAGCACUGUUUCGGCAAGGGGGUCAUCCCGACUUACCAACCCGAUGCAAACUGCGAAUACCGGAGAAUGUUAUCACGGGAGACACACGGCGGGUGCUAACGUCCGUCGUGAAGAGGGAAACAACCCAGACCGCCAGCUAAGGUCCCAAAGUCAUGGUUAAGUGGGAAACGAUGUGGGAAGGCCCAGACAGCCAGGAUGUUGGCUUAGAAGCAGCCAUCAUUUAAAGAAAGCGUAAUAGCUCACUGGUCGAGUCGGCCUGCGCGGAAGAUGUAACGGGGCUAAACCAUGCACCGAAGCUGCGGCAGCGACGCUUAUGCGUUGUUGGGUAGGGGAGCGUUCUGUAAGCCUGCGAAGGUGUGCUGUGAGGCAUGCUGGAGGUAUCAGAAGUGCGAAUGCUGACAUAAGUAACGAUAAAGCGGGUGAAAAGCCCGCUCGCCGGAAGACCAAGGGUUCCUGUCCAACGUUAAUCGGGGCAGGGUGAGUCGACCCCUAAGGCGAGGCCGAAAGGCGUAGUCGAUGGGAAACAGGUUAAUAUUCCUGUACUUGGUGUUACUGCGAAGGGGGGACGGAGAAGGCUAUGUUGGCCGGGCGACGGUUGUCCCGGUUUAAGCGUGUAGGCUGGUUUUCCAGGCAAAUCCGGAAAAUCAAGGCUGAGGCGUGAUGACGAGGCACUACGGUGCUGAAGCAACAAAUGCCCUGCUUCCAGGAAAAGCCUCUAAGCAUCAGGUAACAUCAAAUCGUACCCCAAACCGACACAGGUGGUCAGGUAGAGAAUACCAAGGCGCUUGAGAGAACUCGGGUGAAGGAACUAGGCAAAAUGGUGCCGUAACUUCGGGAGAAGGCACGCUGAUAUGUAGGUGAGGUCCCUCGCGGAUGGAGCUGAAAUCAGUCGAAGAUACCAGCUGGCUGCAACUGUUUAUUAAAAACACAGCACUGUGCAAACACGAAAGUGGACGUAUACGGUGUGACGCCUGCCCGGUGCCGGAAGGUUAAUUGAUGGGGUUAGCGGUAACGCGAAGCUCUUGAUCGAAGCCCCGGUAAACGGCGGCCGUAACUAUAACGGUCCUAAGGUAGCGAAAUUCCUUGUCGGGUAAGUUCCGACCUGCACGAAUGGCGUAAUGAUGGCCAGGCUGUCUCCACCCGAGACUCAGUGAAAUUGAACUCGCUGUGAAGAUGCAGUGUACCCGCGGCAAGACGGAAAGACCCCGUGAACCUUUACUAUAGCUUGACACUGAACAUUGAGCCUUGAUGUGUAGGAUAGGUGGGAGGCUUUGAAGUGUGGACGCCAGUCUGCAUGGAGCCGGCCUUGAAAUACCACCCUUUAAUGUUUGAUGUUCUAACGUUGGCCCCUGAUCGGGGUUGCGGACAGUGUCUGGUGGGUAGUUUGACUGGGGCGGUCUCCUCCUAAAGAGUAACGGAGGAGCACGAAGGUUGGCUAAUCCUGGUCGGACAUCAGGAGGUUAGUGCAAUGGCAUAAGCCAGCUUGACUGCGAGCGUGACGGCGCGAGCAGGUGCGAAAGCAGGUCAUAGUGAUCCGGUGGUUCUGAAUGGAAGGGCCAUCGCUCAACGGAUAAAAGGUACUCCGGGGAUAACAGGCUGAUACCGCCCAAGAGUUCAUAUCGACGGCGGUGUUUGGCACCUCGAUGUCGGCUCAUCACAUCCUGGGGCUGAAGUAGGUCCCAAGGGUAUGGCUGUUCGCCAUUUAAAGUGGUACGCGAGCUGGGUUUAGAACGUCGUGAGACAGUUCGGUCCCUAUCUGCCGUGGGCGCUGGAGAACUGAGGGGGGCUGCUCCUAGUACGAGAGGACCGGAGUGGACGCAUCACUGGUGUUCGGGUUGUCAUGCCAAUGGCACUGCCCGGUAGCUAAAUGCGGAAGAGAUAAGUGCUGAAAGCAUCUAAGCACGAAACUUGCCCCGAGAUGAGUUCUCCCUGACUCCUUGAGAGUCCUGAAGGAACGUUGAAGACGACGACGUUGAUAGGCCGGGUGUGUAAGCGCAGCGAUGCGUUGAGCUAACCGGUACUAAUGAACCGUGAGGCUUAACCUU
This 2903-nucleotide ribosomal RNA is filed under the name Escherichia coli HVH 154 (4-5636698). RNAcentral describes it as "bacterial LSU rRNA". It matches the Rfam family "Bacterial large subunit ribosomal RNA". Lineage: Bacteria; Pseudomonadati; Pseudomonadota; Gammaproteobacteria; Enterobacterales; Enterobacteriaceae. The record is from RNAcentral.